CGGGAGGCCAGGGUCUCUGGUGCGGGUGGAUGUGUGCAGCCCAGAUGCCACGUCUGAGUGUGUGUGUCUGGAGACGGGGGCUCUGGGCCCCAGUUCUAGAGGAAGUGUGAGCCUGGGGAGGGGACAGAGGGCUGAUUACCAGUUGCCUCCUCCUCCUCAGGGAGCAGCCGCCUGGACCGAAGCUACAGCUAUAGCUACAGCAAUGGCCCAGGUCCAUUCUAUAAUAAAGGGCUCAUCUCUGAAGAGGAGCUCAGGGCCAGUGUGGCUUCCCUGAGCAGUGAGAACCCCUAUGCCACCAUCCGGGACCUGCCCAGCUUGCCAGGGGGCCCCCGGGAGAGCAGCUACAUGGAGAUGAAAGGCCCUCCCUCAGGAUCUUCCCCCAGGCAGCCUCCUCAGUUCUGGGACAGCCAGAGGCGGCGGCAACCCCAGUCACAGAGAGACAGUGGCACCUAUGAGCAGCCCAGUCCCCUGAUCCAUGACCGAGACUCUGUGGGCUCCCAGCCCCCUCUGCCUCCGGGCCUACCCCCCGGCCACUAUGACUCACCCAAGAACAGCCACAUCCCUGGACAUUAUGACUUGCCUCCAGUACGGCAUCCCCCAUCACCUCCACUUCGACGUCAGGACCGUUGAGGAGCCAGGAUGGUGUGGCAGAGGCCAGCACACCUGGCUGUUGCUGCUCAAGGCUGGGGACAGAGCCUAGUGUACCCCUGCCAGGAGCAGGGAGUGGACCGGCAGGCCGUGAACAUGAACAACACUUAACGGAGCAAGUGAUGGGAGCCUCGUUCCUGGGUUCUACCAUGGGAGACGCUGAUCAGCAGGAUGCCUGGCUCCCUUUCCCAACCCACUGCUCCCAAGGCCCCCAGGGCCCUGUGUACAUAAACUGGUGGGUUGGAAGUUGCUGGGUAACUCUGAUUUCAGACGUGUGUGUGGGGUACCUUUUCUGUGCACGCUUGGGCUGGGCUCUGUGCGUGUGUGUGUUU
This 980-nucleotide small RNA is filed under the name Pongo abelii (Sumatran orangutan). Its description in RNAcentral is "retained intron". The record is from RNAcentral. Lineage: Eukaryota; Metazoa; Chordata; Mammalia; Primates; Hominidae.